UAUGUGACACCAGAAUCAGUGG
RNAcentral lists this microRNA (22 nucleotides) under Eisenia fetida (common brandling worm). Its description in RNAcentral is "Efe-Novel-3_3p (mature (guide))". The record is from RNAcentral. Lineage: Eukaryota; Metazoa; Annelida; Clitellata; Crassiclitellata; Lumbricidae.